AUGGACAUGCCUUUAAUUCGAAAGUGGUGGUGUCUUCUUCUGAUGGAGCGCUUCAAAAUAGAAGGGCAUGGUCAGCGGUUUGCCUUCUGGACUGAUGAGGCCAGAAGCUUGGUCCAAGGAGCUCUUCAGCCUGUCUCCCGAGUGCCAAGACUGAGUGCUGUCUCUGAGAAGGUCCCAGUCCACAUUGAGUCUGUGGAUCACCGCACCACAGAAGAAAAGAGACUGGUGGACUUUAUAGGAGAGUUACAGGGAUCUGAGGAGCAUUUGGUGGUACUAUUGUAUCUUUUGACUAUUCUGCAAAUUAUUGUAUCUUUAUCUUAAAAGUAUACAUUUCUUAUAAAUAACUGUUUUUGUACCAUGGUUUGUCCAUAAGGGUGUACUCAACGGGAAGCCCUCUAAGUGGUUACAUAAGGUAACCUCUUCCCGGGUGCCUGUCUACCUCGACAGUGAGGAACAGCAGGACAUCCUGUUUUCAUAUCUGAGAGGAGUGCUGGGUAGGACACCAACACAACUGAGCUUCACAGAUGAAGUGCAGUUCAUCUGUGGUGUUCUUUUUCCGGAGGUAUGCCAGUCCAUGUAAUGAUUUUGUUUGUGUCCUUAGACUUACAAAGCUACUGUAUAAACUACAUACUGGUGCUACUCGUGUAUGGCCCAUGUUUAAUAGCUUGCUGUUCAGUAGUGCUAUAACAGUACAUUUAUAUUAAUGUUUUUCAUAGGCCAUCAUAUAUGCCCUGGCUGCCCUCCAGAAUUUGUCCUUGCAGGAGGCUGAGCAGGUCUUCAUUUCUGGUCCAGAUUAUCAUUUCAGGUCAGAGUACAAUAUGAAUAAUUGUUGCACAAUACCCAGUGCACCAUUUUGCUACUGAUAUUUCUAUUAUCACAAAAAUGAUUGUUCUCUGAUAACUAUUUCAGUGAAGUGGAAGAAUUUAAUAGAAAGAUUGACAAACAAUUGAGGAAAGAAGGGAGAUCAUUCAGUUGGUGGGUAUUGUUCUUAUGUACUUGCACAUUUGAAGUCUGUAAUUAGAUGUCAGUAACAUGAAUAUUCUGUUUGACUCUCUCUCUAAAACUCCCAACAGUGCAUAAGUGUUUAAUCAUAUAUAUAUAUAUAUAUAUAUAUAUAUAUAUAUAUAUAUAUAUAUAUAUAUAUAUCUAUAUAUUCAUUCUCCAGUUGAAUAUGUUAAACAAAUGUUUCUUAUUUAUCUCUCUCACUCUCUCCAUCUCUCGGUCUCUCUUUCUCUAGAGUUGAAGCCUACAGCCAGAUGGGAAAGGGGUUCGUUUUAGUGCUGUAAAAAAAAAAAAAAAAAAAUAUAUAUAUAUAUAUAUAUAUAUAUAUAUAUAUAUAUAAACAUUCUUGAAUCAUUGUUGUGUCUUGUCUUGUCUCACAACAACCUUUAAAAUAUCUGCUGUAAUUUAGUGACUCCAUAUGCUGAUUCCAACUUUAACUUACCUGAUAAUGAGCUAAUUCACCUUAAGGAGGUUAAUAAAUAUACUGUAUAAUUCAAGAGACUAAGACUUUUAAGGUUCUCCAUUUUUUACAAUUGUUUUAAAAUGUAUAUACAUUUUUCAUUUAUAUUUUGUGUAGAUUCAUGUUUAAAUUUAAAAUUGUGACUCAAAGCACACUUAGUAAUUAACCUCUGCUGCAUUUUGAAUCAAAAAUCACAUUUAAAAACAAAUGCUACUGAGAUUAACAUAUUGAUGCUAUAUACAAACAUGACUACAAACUAAACCAACAGGGUCCUAGAAGUGCGGUCCUGAAACUGCAGCCAUCACUUUAGUCCAGUACGGUAGGUGGCGCUGUCACAAAAAACUAGGGUUCUAGAACGGAGGUCCUAGAUCUGCGGUCCUGAAACUGCAGCCUCCGGUUGUGCAGGAACAUACUAUUGCGUUUAUCAGGUGUGUGUCAGCGCUGCUGCAGCAGAUGAGGACUGUUUAAAACUCUUUUCCCACUAAAACUUCGAUGCGCAUUCUCUCAAUGCGUGAACAUAACAAAAGAUGUGAAUGCAAAACAACCAGGAAAAAAGGCAUUACAUGCAAUUUUUUAAGAGAUAACAUGUAAAUACAUAUGCCUAGUCGCCAGUGGCGACCUCAGCAAAAACUUCACUCGCAUUUUAAUAUUUAUGGUCGCAAAUGCAACCGUUUUAGUCGCAGUUUGGAGCCCUGUAAAACAUACAUGAUACUGAAGAUAUAUGUGAGGUAAAUACUGGUAAUCAAUUCAGCUUAUUGGAAGCAAUUUUGAGGCCGUUGCUUGUAUUAAACCACAAGUGGGUUAAUUUCAGUCUGUUGGUUUUGGAGACAAAGUCUCUGGAAUUUAUAGCUGCAGAAAAGAGGUGUCCCUUUUUUAAGGUUUGUGGUGAUCCUGGGCAAUAGGAAUGCCUUAGCGUCCUUUCCCAACAAACAUGAGACGUCUAUAGGACGUGCAGAUCAAGUCUAAAUUGAGUCGGUCGGUCUGGACCAUAUCUGGACGUCUCCUCGACUUGCAAAUCCGGUUCAUAUCUGGACGUCGAACUACGACGUCCCUUGGACGUCGAUAUGAGGUUCAAAAUUUGAACGUCGGGCGAAGGAUUUUCUUGGACGUCUGAAGAACUUGCAGAACAGGGUAAGUUUUUAUUUAUUUAUAUAUAAACACAAAUCAAUCCUUUGAUUUCUGAAUUAAAUAUCACAUGUAGCCUAUACUCUUCUGAAACAUCUAGGUGUUAAAUGAAUGUAAUAUAUAAAUGUUUAAAAACAAAGGCCUAAUUAAAGUACCAUAAUGUGACCAUAUACAAUCUUACAUGUAUUUAUUUAUUUAUUUGAGUGGUAUUUUUCACUGGAGCAUUGGCAGAAAAGCAGUUUUCAUCUAGAUCUAAAUAUAGUUAACUAAAGUUAAAUAGAUUAAAAUAUUAAUGUUUAAUAUAUUUUAAUAGACAAUUAGAUUGUAAUUAUAUUAUAUCAUAUUAAAUAAUAAAUAUUUAAUACAUAGAUUUAAAUGAAAUGAAAUACAGUGUAUUUAAACGUGCGCUCGCCACGAGGGGCAUUAACGUGAUGUUACGUUAGUGACGUAAAAGUGAUGGCAGAAAAAAAAAACAGUAAACGUGAUGGCGCAAACAAUCCCGGACCGUGUACUUGUUGGCCAACGGAUUUUCGUUUUAAAAGGAAAAAAACGAAAACGAAAAACGGCUCGUUUCCCAAUUUCCAUUAGUAAAUAGGAAAACAAAAAACGGAAAUCAAUCCAUUUUUCUUUUUUUCUUUUGAUAUUAAAGACGGAAAACGGAAAACAAUCUCGUUAUCCGAUUGUGUUUAUAGAUGGAAAUCGGAAAUCAAAAUAUGUAUGUAUGAACUAAUCCUGC
Molecule: long non-coding RNA, 3323 nt
Organism: Carassius auratus (goldfish)
Lineage: Eukaryota; Metazoa; Chordata; Actinopteri; Cypriniformes; Cyprinidae
Source: Ensembl